AGUGAACGCUGGCGGUAGGCCUAGCACAUGCAAGUCGAACGGCAGCACAGUAAGGGCUUGCUCUUACGGGUGGCGAGUGGCGGACGGGUGAGGAAUACAUCGGAAUCUACUUUUUCGUGGGGGAUAACGUAGGGAAACUUACGCUAAUACCGCAUACGACCUACGGGUGAAAGCAGGGGAUCUUCGGACCUUGCGCGAUUGAAUGGGCCGAUGUCGGAUUAGCUAGUUGGCGGGGUAAAGGCCCACCAAGGCGACGAUCCGUAGCUGGUCUGAGAGGAUGAACAGGCACCACGGAACCUAGACACCGUCCCAGCCCCUACGGGAGGCAGGCGGGGGGAUUUAUGGACAAAUGGCGCAAGCCUGAUCCAGCCAUACCGCGUGGGUGAAGAAGGCCUUCGGGUUGUAAAGCCCUUUUGUUGGGAAAGAAAAGCAGCAGGUUAAUACCCCGCUGUUCUGACGGUACCCAAAGAAUAAGCACCGGCUAACUUCGUG
This 492-nucleotide ribosomal RNA is filed under the name uncultured bacterium. RNAcentral's name for it is "partial 16S ribosomal RNA". It matches the Rfam family "Bacterial small subunit ribosomal RNA", at positions 29 to 507 of the family's 1533-position model. The record is from RNAcentral.